AGUAGUUUGAUCAGUGGCUCGAGGAGACGCUGGCGGCGUGCUUCAUACAUGCAAGUCGAACGAGAAGCUCUCUUCGGAGAGUGGAAAGUGGCGGACGGGUGAGUAAUAUGUAGAGAAUCUGCCCUUGAGCGGGGGACAACAGAGGGAAACUUCUGCUAAUACCCCAUAUGAGCUUGGCUGAAAUGCCAAUCUUGAAAACUCCGGUGCUCAAGGAUGAGUCUGCAUCUGAUUAGCUUGUUGGCGGUGUAAUGGACCACCAAGGCGACGAUCAGUAGCUGGUUUGAGAGGAUGAUCAGCCACAAUGGGACUGAGACACGGCCCAUACUCC
This 328-nucleotide ribosomal RNA is filed under the name uncultured cyanobacterium. RNAcentral describes it as "bacterial SSU rRNA". It matches the Rfam family "Bacterial small subunit ribosomal RNA", at positions 1 to 339 of the family's 1533-position model. The record is from RNAcentral. Lineage: Bacteria; Bacillati; Cyanobacteriota.